RNAcentral lists this ribosomal RNA (480 nucleotides) under uncultured bacterium. Its description in RNAcentral is "bacterial SSU rRNA". It matches the Rfam family "Bacterial small subunit ribosomal RNA", at positions 26 to 518 of the family's 1533-position model. The record is from RNAcentral.
AGGACGAACGCUGGCGGCGUGCUUAACACAUGCAAGUCGAACGGUGAAGCGGAGCUUGCUCUGCGGAUCAGUGGCGAACGGGUGAGUAACACGUGAGCAACCUACCCUUGACUCUGGGAUAACAGUUGGAAACAGCUGCUAAUACCGGAUAUGACCCUGGUGGACAUCCACUGGGGUGGAAAGCUCCGACGGUCAAGGAUGGGCUCGCGGCCUAUCAGCUUGUUGGUGAGGUAACGGCUCACCAAGGCGUCGACGGGUAGCCGGCCUGAGAGGGCGACCGGCCACACUGGGACUGAGAUACGGCCCAGACUCCUACGGGAGGCAGCAGUGGGGAAUAUUGCACAAUGGGCGAAAGCCUGAUGCCAGCAACGCCGCGUGCGGGAUGACGGCCUUCGGGUUGUAAACCGCUUUCAGCAGGGACGAAGGGUUUCUGACGGUACCUGCAGAAGAAGCACCGGCUAACUACGUGCCAGCCGCUGC